Molecule: long non-coding RNA, 904 nt
Organism: Drosophila persimilis
Lineage: Eukaryota; Metazoa; Arthropoda; Insecta; Diptera; Drosophilidae
Exons: 2
Source: RefSeq, a predicted model, not a curated record
CGGAUCUUUCGACUAGAGGUGCUCCUGAAAUAUAUUCAUGAAGGGAAAGACGAUCCACCAACUAGCAGACGGUGCGGGUCCAUCCUUUGUACUGGGAACCUUAUGGCUAUUAAGUAUCGUCGAGUUGCAGAACAGCAACAUUAAUUUGUCGGGCUUGUACAGCAGAUGGCGGGUGUGUUUGCCAAGCACUACAUUUUCCUAGACCAAGACUCGGCCUUAAUGACGAUGAUGAUGAAUUGAUGAGGCUUCUGCCAGCAUAUAGGCGACACUUUAGGCGCCGCGGGACCACUGCUACAGGCGCUUGUUGACUCCAUGCGGCAUGUCUUCUAAGGAGCCUGGAAUCUUCGCCUCGUCGCAGCCCGAAACCUCUUGCGAAGCCAGGAUAGCUGUCAGGUCGCCCGAACAUCAGCAGCAAAGGGCCUUUUGUUCAAGAUGCAGGACUCGCAACCUUUUCUCGCAUUCCCCCUCGUCGAAGGUCGAAGUGGCAGCCUCCAGGUCCCUCCAGGAACUCAUUGCUUCUGUUUUUUUGUAUGAAACAUCCUCUUGCUGGACGGAAUGGCCAUUUUAAAGUUUGCCAGAUCCUUUGAUACAUCCUCCGGUCCUGCAAGAUGGCAGUCGAGGCGGCACAGAUGCCACUAUUUUCAAGGAUUCCUUUAUCACUGGAAAUGAUGGCAGUAAUGUCGUCUAGGCUGCCAUCUCACAGAGUCGAAGGACACGAAGGAGUUGUCCGAGGACCUGGCCAACUUUAAAUGAUCGGAGUAGUGAUCGUUUUUUGUAGCUAUCCGGAUAGAGAUUACCCAUUGAAUACCCCAAGGCAGUGCCUAUCGUCUUGUUGAAUUUCAUCAAAAUUUACAAGAUAUAUUUGUAUCAAUAAAUUUUUAUAUUUUUUAGAGGUAAAACAAGA